ACGGAAGGCAGCAGUGGGGAAUAUUGCGCAAUGGGGGAAACCCUGACGCAGCGACGCCGCAUGAGUGAAGAAGUAUUUCGGUAUGUAAAGCUCUAUCAGCAGGGAAGAAAAUGACGGUACCUGACUAAGAAGCCCCGACUAACUACGUGCCAGCAGCCGCGGUAAUACGUAGGGGGCAAGCGUUAUCCGGAUUUACUGGGUGUAAAGGGAGCGUAGACGGUGAAGCAAGUCUGAAGUGAAAGGCAGGGGCUCAACCCCUGGACUGCUUUGGAAACUGUUUUACUAGAGUGCAGGAGAGGUAAGCGGAAUUCCUAGUGUAGCGGUGAAAUGCGUAGAUAUUAGGAGGAACACCAGUGGCGAAGGCGGCUUACUGGACUGUAACUGACGUUGAGGCUCGAAAGCGUGGGGAGCAAACAGGAUUAGAUACCCUGGUA
This 434-nucleotide ribosomal RNA is filed under the name uncultured Clostridiales Family XIV bacterium. RNAcentral describes it as "bacterial SSU rRNA". It matches the Rfam family "Bacterial small subunit ribosomal RNA", at positions 341 to 792 of the family's 1533-position model. Lineage: Bacteria; Bacillati; Bacillota; Clostridia; Eubacteriales; Clostridiales Family XIV. Incertae Sedis. The record is from RNAcentral.